RNAcentral lists this ribosomal RNA (492 nucleotides) under uncultured bacterium. RNAcentral's name for it is "partial 16S ribosomal RNA". It matches the Rfam family "Bacterial small subunit ribosomal RNA", at positions 29 to 507 of the family's 1533-position model. The record is from RNAcentral.
AGUGAACGCUGGCGGUAGGCCUAACACAUGCAAGUCGAACGGCAGCACAGUAAGAGCUUGCUCUUACGGGUGGCGAGUGGCGGACGGGUGAGGAAUACAUCGGAAUCUACUUUUUCGUGGGGGAUAACGUAGGGAAACUUACGCUAAUACCGCAUACGACCUACGGGUGAAAGCAGGGGAUCUUCGGACCUUGCGCGAUUGAAUGAGCCGAUGUCGGAUUAGCUAGUUGGCGGGGUAAAGGCCCACCAAGGCGACGAUCCGUAGCUGGUCUGAGAGGAUGAUCUGCCACACUGGAACUGAGACACGGUCCAGACUCCUACGGGAGGCAGCAGUGGGGAAUAUUGGACAAAGGGCGCAAGCCUGAUCCAGCCAUACCGCGUGGGUGAAGAAGGCCUUCGGGUUGUAAAGCCCUUUUGUUGGGAAAGAAAAGCAGCAGGUUAAUACCCCGCUGUUCUGACGGUACCCAAAGAAUAAGCACCGGCUAACUUCGUG